This is a long non-coding RNA of Rosa chinensis, 619 nucleotides long. RefSeq lists it as uncharacterized. The transcript is spliced from 4 exons. The record is from RefSeq and is a predicted model, not a curated record. NCBI's taxonomy places the organism in Eukaryota, Viridiplantae, Streptophyta, Magnoliopsida, Rosales, Rosaceae.
AGGAGGAGGAGGAAGCCUCAAGCAGCUUGCUUUUGCUGCUUUGCAUUUUGGGUUGUGUAUUUGCGUUUUGGCCAUUCAAGGAUCACAUACCUUCAGAAUCGCUUAAAAGGACCAAAGUGGCUUCCUUUCUUAGUUGGGGUCUUUACAAGAACUUGUUCCCCUUCCUUAUUUUCCUCCUCGGUGGUUCUCAAGCUGCUUCUCUGAAUUUGGUAGCUGAUUAUGAUUCUUUGUUUCAAUUGGUGUUAAAGAUAGCUAGCUUUACAUACCAUUUUAGGAGUCCUUUUGUAUAUAUGAUUUGGAGAUGAACUUUAACAUUUACGAGUUUAGAUAUUAAUUUUUCUGAAGCAAUUUCUUGCUUGUACUGACUGUUUGCAUUCUGGCUCGUGUAAUGACUGUUUAUACCCUGUAUCUUGCAGGAAAUGUCUAGUUGAUGGAAGCCUUCUCAGUGAGGCAGUGGUGGAUUCUGAGAAUGCUGUAGCUGCCGUAAAUGUAAGUACUUGGAGCACCAAAUGAGAAUAUUUGGCUGCUGUAUAAUUAACACAACAACUUCCUGUAUUUGGAGCACUGCAACAUCCUAGAACUCUUUCAAUGAGGAAGACCCAUUACUGUUCUUUAGGCC